RNAcentral lists this long non-coding RNA (425 nucleotides) under Varanus komodoensis (Komodo dragon). RNAcentral describes it as "lncRNA (ENSVKKG00000007962.1)". The record is from RNAcentral. Lineage: Eukaryota; Metazoa; Chordata; Lepidosauria; Squamata; Varanidae.
CCUGAUGUGAUCAUAAAGGUUGAACAAGACGAUGAGUCAUGGCCGCCCGUAAAAUCAGAGCAAGAAGAGAAGCCCUUGAGCCCGCCUCUCCCCGAAGGAGAAACCUUACCAGGAACCCCUUCAGGGUUUCCUGCUGUGAUAAUAAAGAAGGAAGAAGAUGAAGAUCUGUGGGUACUGUACCGCCAGGGCUCUGAGGAAAAUGAAACUUUCCCUGCUGCACAGCCAGGCAUGAAACGCGGCAGCAAGGGAGGACAGCUUCGCAGUGGCAACCUUCCAAUUAUGGAAUGAGCUCCCUGGCGAGGCCCCCUGGCACCAAUAUCGUUAUCUUGGCAGAGCUGGGUGAUGACUUUACUCCCAGACAGUUGGCAGCAUAUGAUGUUUUGAACCUGGUCAUGGGGUAUUUAUUAUUCAGGUCUGUGUGGAGU